This 497-nucleotide ribosomal RNA is filed under the name uncultured bacterium. Its description in RNAcentral is "partial 16S ribosomal RNA". It matches the Rfam family "Bacterial small subunit ribosomal RNA", at positions 28 to 507 of the family's 1533-position model. The record is from RNAcentral.
GAUGAACGCUGGCGGCGUGCCUAAUACAUGCAAGUCGAGCGAACAGACGAGGAGCUUGCUCCUCUGACGUUAGCGGCGGACGGGUGAGUAACACGUGGAUAACCUACCUAUAAGACUGGGAUAACUUCGGGAAACCGGAGCUAAUACCGGAUAAUAUAUUGAACCGCAUGGUUCAAUAGUGAAAGACGGUUUUGCUGUCACUUAUAGAUGGAUCCGCGCCGCAUUAGCUAGUUGGUAAGGUAACGGCUUACCAAGGCAACGAUGCGUAGCCGACCUGAGAGGGGGAUCGGCCACACUGGAACUGAGACACGGUCCAGACUCCUACGGGAGGCAGCAGUAGGGAAUCUUCCGCAAUGGGCGAAAGCCUGACGGAGCAACGCCGCGUGAGUGAUGAAGGUCUUCGGAUCGUAAAACUCUUUUAUUAGGGAAGAACAAAUGUGUAAGUAACUAUGCACGCCUUGACGGUACCUAAUCAGAAAGCCACGGCUAAUUACGUG